GUCGUAUAAGCUAACCAGGCAUAGCGUCCGUUUUGUAAUCGGAAGGUGUGGGGUUCGAUUCCUCAAUACGAUA
Molecule: transfer RNA, 73 nt
Rfam family: tRNA
About the family: Transfer RNA (tRNA) molecules are approximately 80 nucleotides in length. Their secondary structure includes four short double-helical elements and three loops (D, anti-codon, and T loops). Further hydrogen bonds mediate the characteristic L-shaped molecular structure. tRNAs have two regions of fundamental functional importance: the anti-codon, which is responsible for specific mRNA codon recognition, and the 3' end, to which the tRNAs corresponding amino acid is attached (by aminoacyl-tRNA synthetases). tRNAs cope with the degeneracy of the genetic code in two manners: having more than one tRNA (with a specific anti-codon) for a particular amino acid; and 'wobble' base-pairing, i.e. permitting non-standard base-pairing at the 3rd anti-codon position.
Source: Rfam